CUCCAGAGCUGCCAACUCUUUGGUAACCAGGGAACUGAUCUCCAUCUCUAAUAUGGAAUAGUAAAAUAGCCACUUGGAUUUAUUGUUUUCUGUGUGCUUAGCAAUGAGCUGGGAGUUCUAUAUUUUUGUUUUACCUGGGACUAGGUAUGGUGGAUCUUUUGGGAGCCACAAGUACUGUAUCAGUCUGGGUCCAAUCAGGAGAGAGGAACCAAGUAAGGGCUUAAGCAAUGGGAAUUUAUUUAUUUAUUUAUUUUUAUUUUUAUUUUUAGCAAUGGGAGUUUAAAGAAUGUCAUGUGAUGAUAAAAGAGUAACUAGAGGACGUAAAGAGAGCCCCAUAGGGCUACUCUCCCUACAACUGAGAAAGGGAACCAAGGAAGGGGUAUAGUCUCAGAAGGAGGCUGCCUCUCAGGACUAUGGAUCAGAUCUUGUUGGAGAAGGUAUCAUGGCAGCCCCUUGGAUGGUGGACAAAUUUGCGGGUACCUUGGCCAGAGCUGGUCUUCAAUUGCUAGACAAGGAUAAAGCAAUCUGCCAGAGCACAGCUAAACACCCAGCUACUUGUCGGUGGUGAUGUACACCAGUUUCCAUACUUCCUACUGUUCGAGGCAUGUGGGGGGGUGGUUCCAGCGAAGGAAGAGGCAGAUGAAUGGUUCGCAUGGGAGCAGUGGGCACCCCGAUGGAGGAUGGAGGACCGACAGCAGAGUUCGGAGAUGGGCAGAGAAAAGCCAACUUUUCUCCCUUUAGGCUUGCGAGUGGAAGAGUGAGGAGCCAGGAAAGGUAAAUGCUGUCAUCUGCUGGUCGUUUCCUGUGUAGCAGCAUCAAAAUAAGAGUUUUGCAAAGCUCUUGUUUAGACUUAGCCAAGGACCCAGGAAGGAGGAGGAGGCAUUUGCAGAGCACUUGCUGUUUAUAAGGGACCAUCUUCAAGGAUGCUCUGAGUACAGACAUGAAUUGGCCUCGGAUGCUGCCAGUAAAGGGGGCGCAGACUCCAGGGAGCCUGUACCUGUGCGCCUCAAACACAUCCUUCAGCCUCUUUGGACUUCAGGUUCCUCAUUGGGUGUGUGGACCAGGGUGGUCUCCAAGCCUCCAGAGGGAGGACCUUGAAAGAUGAAAAGAAUGUUACAGAUGGGUACUGAGGAAGAAUGUAAGAGAGACAAGAGAAGCCCUGGGAAAGCCUGACACACGUGUCCUCUUCCCUUGUCCCCUUGUUUGUGAUGCCGUGGGUUAGGCUCCGGGUCUCUAAGCACCUGCCUUCCUCUGACCUCUUUCUGCUCAGGGGAAGGGACAGAGGAGUUGGAAAGACUUCUUGAGUGAACAAUGGAACCAACACCUGUGAAGUCUCCACCAAUGUUAGGAAAUAGAACCAUAUUGUUGCCUCUGAAGUCAUCUAUUAUAUGAAUAUAACCUAAUUUAUUUAUACAUUCUACUGUGGAUGGCAUUUGAAUUGUUUGCUCUUGUCUCCAGGUUUUGCUGCCUUGGACAUCCACGAGCAUCUAUUUCUGUCAAGCAUAUACGCAGGGGGUGGAAUUGUUGGAUUGUAGACCAGGUGCAUUUUCAACUUUAGAGAUAAUUACAAUUCAUUAUCCCAAGAGGUUGCAUCGCUGGAAACUCGCAUUAGAAGUGUGUGCAAGUUCACAUUAGUUCAGAUUCACUGCAGGUACUUGAUGCUCUCAGAUUUUUUAUUUUAUUAUUUUUUUAAAAAUAAAGGUUUUGCUGAUUUGGUGAGGGUGAAAUAGUGUUUUACUGUUAUUUUUUUAAGAUUUUAUUUAUGUAUUCAAGAGAGACACAGAGAGGGAGAGAGAGACGCAAGCAGAGGGAGAAGCAGGCUCCCUGCGGGGAGUCCGAUGCAGGACUUGAU
Molecule: long non-coding RNA, 1852 nt
Organism: Canis lupus familiaris (dog)
Lineage: Eukaryota; Metazoa; Chordata; Mammalia; Carnivora; Canidae
Exons: 3
Source: RefSeq, a predicted model, not a curated record